GAAGUACUCCCUCCGUUCUGAAUUACUUGUCUUGGAUUUGUCUAGAUACAGAUGCAUCUAGACUCAUUUUAGUGCUAGAUACCUCCGUAUCUAGACAAAUCUAAGACAAGUAAUUUGGAACGGAGGGAGUAAGUA
Non-coding RNA from Triticum urartu, 135 nucleotides. NCBI's taxonomy places the organism in Eukaryota, Viridiplantae, Streptophyta, Magnoliopsida, Poales, Poaceae. The record is from Rfam.